This 499-nucleotide ribosomal RNA is filed under the name uncultured bacterium. RNAcentral's name for it is "partial 16S ribosomal RNA". It matches the Rfam family "Bacterial small subunit ribosomal RNA", at positions 30 to 523 of the family's 1533-position model. The record is from RNAcentral.
AUUGAACGCUGGCGGUAUGCUUAACACAUGCAAGUCGAACGGUAGCAGGCCUUCGGGCGCUGACGAGUGGCGGACGGGUGAGUAACGCGUAGGAAUCUGCCUAUUAGUGGGGGACAACAUUCCGAAAGGAAUGCUAAUACCGCAUACGCCCUACGGGGGAAAGCAGGGGAUCUUCGGAUCUUGCGCUAAUAGAUGAGCCUAAGUCGGAUUAGCUAGUUGGUGGGGUAAAGGCCUACCAAGGCGACGAUCUGUAGCGGGUCUGGGAGGAUGAUCCGCCACACUGGGACUGAGACACGGCCCAGACUCCUACGGGAGGCAGCAGUGGGGAAUAUUGGACAAUGGGGGGAACCCUGAUCCAGCCAUGCCGCGUGUGUGAAGAAGGCCUUAUGGUUGUAAAGCACUUUAAGCGAGGAGGAGGCUCUUUUGGUUAAUACCCAAGAUGAGUGGACGUUACUCGCAGAAUAAGCACCGGCUAACUCUGUGCCAGCCGCCGCCGUAA